Molecule: transfer RNA, 74 nt
Filed under: Candidatus Pacearchaeota archaeon
Lineage: Archaea; Nanobdellati
Description: tRNA-Lys
Rfam family: tRNA
About the family: Transfer RNA (tRNA) molecules are approximately 80 nucleotides in length. Their secondary structure includes four short double-helical elements and three loops (D, anti-codon, and T loops).
Source: RNAcentral
GGCUCCGUAGCUCAGCCUGGUAGAGCACCGGACUUUUAAUCCGGGUGUCGAGGGUUCAAAUCCCUCCGGGGCCA